Molecule: ribosomal RNA, 274 nt
Filed under: uncultured bacterium
Lineage: Bacteria
Description: partial 16S ribosomal RNA
Rfam family: Archaeal small subunit ribosomal RNA
Source: RNAcentral
AAACCAGCUCUUCAAGUGGUCGGGACUAUUAUUGGGCUUAAAGCGUCCGUAGCCGGUUUGGUAAGUUCCUGGUUAAAUCGGGCGGCUUAACCGUCCGGUUGCUAGGAAUACUGCCAAACUAGGGGGCGGGAGAGGUCCGAGGUACUCCGGGGGUAGCGGUGAAAUGCGAUAAUCCUCGGGGGACCACCAGUGGCGAAGGCGUCGGACUGGAACGCGCCCGACGGUGAGGGACGAAAGCCAGGGGAGCGAACCGGAUUAGAAACCCCAGUAGUCC